This 452-nucleotide ribosomal RNA is filed under the name Candidatus Mycoplasma haematobovis. RNAcentral describes it as "bacterial LSU rRNA". It matches the Rfam family "Bacterial large subunit ribosomal RNA", at positions 23 to 482 of the family's 2925-position model. The record is from RNAcentral. Lineage: Bacteria; Bacillati; Mycoplasmatota; Mollicutes; Mycoplasmatales; Mycoplasmataceae.
AAAGGUGGAUUUCUUGGAAAUGGCAGGCUAUGAAGGACGUGCUAAUCUGCGAUAAGCUAGGAGUAAUCGAUAAGAGAUACUUAUUCCUAGAUCUCCGAAUGUAGAAAUAUGAUAUUUCGAAAGAUUUAUCGUUCAACAGCCAAUUCAUAACUGUUGAAAGCGAACCUCGUGAAGUGAAACAUCUCAGUAGCGAGAGGAAAAGAAAGCGAAUGCGAUUCCCUCAGUAGUGGUGAGCGAAAGGGGAACAGGCCAAACCUGUUUUACAGGGGUUGUAGGACACUCUUUUCCCUCUAAAUUUAUAGGAGAAAUUUUUGGAAAAAAAUGGCAUAGAGGGCGAACCCCCCGUAUCCAAAAUGAAUUUAGAGUUUGAGUGUAUCCUGAGUAGGGCGGGACACGUGUAAUCCUGUUUGAAUCUGCCCAGACCAUUGGGUAAGCCUAAAUACUAACCAUUU